AUGAUGAUAUCUUCUUACAAGUUCGGCCAUGAAAAUACAAGUAAUGAUGCAGUGAAAGAAGAAUCAGGAAAAAUUAUGACUUGUUCUAGAAACGUUCUGCGCUUGCCAUGUUUUACGAAAAUAAAGCAGAGCUCUAUAGAUUCCUCCACAGAUAGAGAAACAAUUCUCAUAUCCACCCUACAAUCCCCCCUUUUUAUUGGGGUAUCAUUUAUGUAGAGUAAAAUGUACAAUUCAUAAGUGCUCAGCUCAAUGCCUUUUGAGAUAAGUGUAACUCCUUUCCAAAAUAAGAUUCAGAACACAGA
This 302-nucleotide long non-coding RNA is filed under the name Dasypus novemcinctus (nine-banded armadillo). RNAcentral's name for it is "lncRNA (ENSDNOG00000051124.1)". Lineage: Eukaryota; Metazoa; Chordata; Mammalia; Cingulata; Dasypodidae. The record is from RNAcentral.